Molecule: ribosomal RNA, 491 nt
Filed under: uncultured bacterium
Lineage: Bacteria
Description: partial 16S ribosomal RNA
Rfam family: Bacterial small subunit ribosomal RNA
Source: RNAcentral
AUUGAACGCUGGCGGCAUGCUUUACACAUGCAAGUCGAACGGUAACAGGCCUUCGGGUGCUGACGAGUGGCGAACGGGUGAGUAAUGCAUCGGAACGUACCCAGAGGUGGGGGAUAACGCAGCGAAAGCUGUGCUAAUACCGCAUGUGAUCUGAGGAUGAAAGCGGGGGACCGAGCAGCAAUGUUUGGCCUCGCGCCUUUGGAGCGGCCGAUGUCGGAUUAGCUAGUUGGUGGGGUAAAGGCCUACCAAGGCGACGAUCCGUAGCUGGUCUGAGAGGACGACCAGCCACACUGGGACUGAGACACGGCCCAGACUCCUACGGGAGGCAGCAGUGGGGAAUUUUGGACAAUGAGCGCAAGCCUGAGCCAGCAAUGCCGCGGGCGGGAAGAAGGCCUUCGGGUUGUAAACCGCUUUUGGCAGGAACGAAACGGUGUCCGCUAAUACCGGGCGCUAAUGACGGUACCUGCAGAAUAAGCACCGGCUAACUACGU